Small nucleolar RNA from Nannospalax galili (Upper Galilee mountains blind mole rat), 67 nucleotides. RefSeq annotates it as small nucleolar RNA U54. Lineage: Eukaryota; Metazoa; Chordata; Mammalia; Rodentia; Spalacidae. The record is from RefSeq and is a predicted model, not a curated record. The transcript has a single exon.
CGGCGGUGAGGAGACACGUACUGUGUUGACUGGCGGUGAUCGCUCUAUACGCUAUUCUGAGCCGAUG